Molecule: ribosomal RNA, 253 nt
Filed under: uncultured bacterium
Lineage: Bacteria
Description: partial 16S ribosomal RNA
Rfam family: Bacterial small subunit ribosomal RNA
Source: RNAcentral
UACGUAGGGUGCGAGCGUUGUCCGGAAUUAUUGGGCGUAAAGAGCUUGUAGGCGGUUUGUCGCGUCUGCUGUGAAAAUCCGGGGCUCAACCCCGGACUUGCAGUGGGUACGGGCAGACUAGAGUGUGGUAGGGGAGACUGGAAUUCCUGGUGUAGCGGUGAAAUGCGCAGAUAUCAGGAGGAACACCGAUGGCGAAGGCAGGCUCUGGGCCACUACUGACGCUGAGAAGCGAAAGCAUGGGGGAGCGAACAGG